This 408-nucleotide ribosomal RNA is filed under the name Triticum aestivum (bread wheat). RNAcentral's name for it is "partial small subunit ribosomal RNA". Lineage: Eukaryota; Viridiplantae; Streptophyta; Magnoliopsida; Poales; Poaceae. The record is from RNAcentral.
AUGGCCUCAGCAGCGUACCUCGAGACGGACGAGAACCUGGAGGCCCUCAUCAGCCGCAUCGAGCAGAAGUCCCGCAAGAUCGAGACCCUCCUCAAGCAGUCCAAGCCGGUGGAGGCCCUCAAGACGGCGCUCGAGGGGUCGCCCCUCAAGACCCGCGACGAGCGAUGCAAGUCGGCGAACUGGAUCGUGGUGCACCGCGCCAUGAUGGCGAUCAGGGACAUCGGCGGCAUGUUCAACUCACUGGACACCGAGUACUACGACAUCCUCAUGAAGUACCUGUACAGAGGUUUGUCCACUGGCGACCGGCCGACGUGCGACCAGUGCCUCAAAAUCCAUGAGAAGCUGACGGAGAGAGCUGGCUUAGGAUGCAUACUGCGGUCACUCGCCGACACUGUAAACACCGUGUGA